AUCUUAUCAAAAGAGGUACAAGAAUACAUCUAAUAUUUAUCUAGCUCAUAUUUCAAGAUUUCUCUAAGUAAUUAUAGAAUAAUGUCUGGAAUUUUCAAGAUUAUUGGGUUCGAGAAGAUCAGAAGGUCGUGUUUGGAUGGAGAUGAUGAUGGUGAUUACGAUUAUGCUCCAGCAGCAUGUUUAGAGAGAGAUGGUGAUGAUGAUGGAGAUUAUGAUUAUGCUCCUGCAGCAUUCUUGGAAGGAGACGAUGAUGAUCGAGAUUAUGACUAUGCUCCUGCAACAUCGUUAGACGGAGAUGACGAUGGAGAUUAUGAUUAUGCUCCGGCUGCCUGAAUAAGUUCAUUGAAGGCUCUUGGUAGAGACAAAUUUAGAAUAGAAACAACAUUCUUGGUCAAACUUACUGUUGUCUAAUUCAAACUUAAGGAAGUUUAGUUGGAAGAAUUAAGAACCUUGGUUUUCAUAAUCCUAGUC
This is an RNA transcript of Solanum stenotomum, 471 nucleotides long. RefSeq lists it as uncharacterized. Lineage: Eukaryota; Viridiplantae; Streptophyta; Magnoliopsida; Solanales; Solanaceae. The transcript is spliced from 4 exons. The record is from RefSeq and is a predicted model, not a curated record.